AAUCCUGAACCACUUUUUGUUUCUUCCCAAUGACUCAAAUUCCUUCGGCAAAAAUUACGGUCGCCGAAUCCCGAUGAUGACAGCAGUCGCUGAUUUCGAUGAUGAUUGUCGCCGAAUUUCUCGCCGGAUUCCGACGGUGACAGCAGUCACCAAUUUUCUUCCUUCCGGUGACGACAACAAUUACAGUCGCUGGCUUUUCUUAUGACGACGGUGACAACCAACUUUGUUCUUGAUGUUGGAUCAACGUCUUCGGAUUUGUUUGACAAAAAAAGAGACGUACCCUGUGCCCGUACCAGCUUCGUGUUGGGAUGGGUUUGGCAGCAAAAUCAAUGAGUCCACGCAACAUAACUCCUAG
Molecule: long non-coding RNA, 355 nt
Filed under: Capsicum annuum
Lineage: Eukaryota; Viridiplantae; Streptophyta; Magnoliopsida; Solanales; Solanaceae
Description: long non-coding RNA (CANN_LNC004042)
Source: RNAcentral